UUGUCGGAGAAAGGUUAUAAAUAGACAUUUGCUCUUAGAAUGUAAACACACCAUUUGAGAAUAAAUUUGAGAGAAUUCUUGAGAGUUCGAUUUUUCUUCUUUUAAUAUUUUUGCUAAAAUUAGUUUUUUCAAGUUUUUCGGGAAGUAGGAGUCUUUAGAAAUCUUAUUGAGCUAAAGAGCGAUGAUCAACUUAUUGGUAAGUUCGUGGUGUUUUUCCUUUCCUUAUUUACUUUCUUUAGUCUUUGUUUUUGCUUUCAUUUUAGAAUUGUACAUUCAAUUAGAGGGAGGAAUUUAAUUCUAAGUGGUUAUAGUUUCGGUAUUGCAUACGUUGAGUGGUUUUAAGAGUUGAUUCGAUUCUCUUCAUAUCCUCCCGCGUCAUUUGAUAUCAGAGUUUUGGCUCCUAAGAACCCAAAUCUAUCUUUAUUUGCUUUAGCAUUUUGUUCUUUAACAAUUCAAAUUAAUUUUUGAUUUGUUCGUAUUGUAUCCUGUUUGAAUGUAUAUCUAUAUGUUCAAUUCAAAUAGUUCGUUUUUUUUUAAAUUAUAUAUCAAAAAUACCAAAAAUACCCCAAGUUGCACCCCAUAAGUCAAUUGGCACAUUGUUUGCAUUUUACAUCACAAAAGCAGAAUAGCUAAUUGGUGACUGGAAAUCCUUUAAGAAAUUAAAGGCAAAGUACGUUGCCUAACUGGUGUGAGCGGAAACUUUUGUUUUCAUUUCGUACACUAUCCACAUUUAAUUUUUGAAUUGCAUUUCUGUAAUUUGCAUCAAUGUUGUAUAAAGAAACUUAAUCGGUCGUAGAGCGUCGCCAACAAAUUGGGGGUAGUAUAGGAAGAUACACCUACCGAUUAUAUCCGUCGGGAUUGAUCAGAUCCCUAUGCAUCAGUCCGAGUUAUCAUUAUUUGUGAUCUAUGUUUCCGUUUUCUUUAUUUUACAUUUGUUCCGUUACAUAAUUAAGCGACUAAUUGUUACUAGUUGCUUAACGCAUAAAGAGCACACUAAUCUUUUUUUUAUGUGUUUGUUUCUGAA
RNAcentral lists this long non-coding RNA (1024 nucleotides) under Carica papaya (papaya). RNAcentral describes it as "long non-coding RNA (CPAP_LNC000691)". Lineage: Eukaryota; Viridiplantae; Streptophyta; Magnoliopsida; Brassicales; Caricaceae. The record is from RNAcentral.